Molecule: small nucleolar RNA, 113 nt
Organism: Pipistrellus kuhlii (Kuhl's pipistrelle)
Lineage: Eukaryota; Metazoa; Chordata; Mammalia; Chiroptera; Vespertilionidae
Product: small nucleolar RNA SNORA44
Exons: 1
Source: RefSeq, a predicted model, not a curated record
UUGUCUCUUUCUAAAUUAUUGUCCUUCCAACUGCAUGCAAGAGCAACCUGGAGAGACUUUGACAGCUCAGGUCAGCAUAAUACCUGCAGCUGCCACUCGCCUUUCCUAUAUCU